UACGGGGGGAGCAAGCGUUGUUCGGAUUUACUGGGCGUAAAGGGCGCGUAGGCGGUCAGCACAAGUCAGUUGUGAAAUCUCCGGGCUUAACUCGGAAAGGUCAACUGAUACUGUGCGACUAGAGUGCGGAAGGGGCAACUGGAAUUCUCGGUGUAGCGGCGAAAUGCGUAGAUAUCGAGAGGAACACCUGCGGCGAAGGCGGGUAGCUGGGCCGACACUGACGCUGAGGCGCGAAAGCCAGGGGAGCGAACGGG
Molecule: ribosomal RNA, 254 nt
Filed under: uncultured bacterium
Lineage: Bacteria
Description: partial 16S ribosomal RNA
Rfam family: Bacterial small subunit ribosomal RNA
Source: RNAcentral